RNA transcript from Sorex fumeus (smoky shrew), 5266 nucleotides. It is a transcript of the gene named clathrin heavy chain like 1, with no coding region annotated. NCBI's taxonomy places the organism in Eukaryota, Metazoa, Chordata, Mammalia, Eulipotyphla, Soricidae. The record is from RefSeq and is a predicted model, not a curated record. The transcript has 33 exons.
CCGCCUCCUCGGACCCUCUCCCGCCAUGGCGCAAAUACUCCCCAUCCGUUUACAUGAGCACUUCCAGCUCCAAGACCUUGGAAUUAAUCCAGAUAAUAUUGGAUUCAGCACACUGACUAUGGAAUCAGAUAAGUUUAUAUGUGUUCAAGAGAAAGUCGGUGAGCAGGCGCACGUAGUGAUUAUUGAUGUGAGUGAUCCAAUGGCAUCAAUUAGAUGGCCCAUCUCUGCAGAAAGUGCCAUCAUGAAUCCGGCCUCUAAGGUGAUAGCUCUGAAAGCUGGGAAGACACUUCAAAUCUUUAGUAUUGAGAUGAAGAAUAAAAUGAAGGCUCAUACUCUGGCAGAAGAGGUGAUUUUCUGGAAAUGGGUCUCUGUGAACACUGUAGCCCUGGUUACUGAGACCGCUGUCUACCACUGGAGUAUGGAAGCUGACUCACAGCCUAUCAAGAUGUUUGAUAGACAUGCCAGUCUUGCAGGAUGCCAGAUGAUCCACUACCGGACUGAUGAGUACCAGAAGUGGUUGGUCCUUGUUGGCAUCUCAGCACAGCAAAACCGUGUGGUUGGGGCAAUGCAGCUCUAUUCUGUGGAUAGGAAGGUUUCACAACCCAUUGAAGGCCAUGCUGCUGCUUUUGCAGAAUUCAAGGCUGAGGGGAAUGCGAAGCCUGCCACCCUUUUCUGCUUUGCUGUACGAAAUCCCACAGGAGGCAAGUUACACAUAAUCGAAGUUGGACAGCCUGCAGCAGGAAACCAGCCUUUUGUAAAGAAAGCUGUGGAUGUGUUUUUCCCUCCUGACGCUCAGACUGAUUUCCCAGUAGCUAUGCAGAUUGGAGCAAAACACGGUGUCAUUUUCUUGAUCACAAAGUAUGGCUAUCUUCAUAUGUAUGACCUAGAAUCUGGUGCAUGCAUUUACAUGAACCGUAUUAGUGCUGAUACAAUCUUUGUUACUGCUCCACAUGAACCUACCUCUGGAAUUAUUGGUGUCAACAAAAAGGGACAGGUGCUUUCAGUUUGUGUUGAGGAAGACAAUAUUGUGAAUUAUGCAACCAACAUACUUCAGAAUCCAGACCUCGGUCUCCGUUUGGCCAUUCGUAGUAAUCUAGCAGGGGCAGAGGAGUUAUUUGUGAAAAAAUUUGAUACCCUGUUUGCACAGGGGAGCUAUGCUGAAGCAGCCAAAGUAGCAGCAUCUGCACCAAAGGGAAUCUUGCGUACCAGUGACACAAUUCAGAAGUUACAGAGUAUACCUGCCCAGCCUGGGGAGAUUUCUCCAUUGAUACAAUAUUUUGGAAUCCUGCUUGACCAGGGUCAGCUUAAUAAACUUGAAUCCUUAAAAAUUUGUCGUGUAGUCCUUCAGCGAGGACGCAAGAGACUCAUAGAAAAGUGGCUGAAAGGAAACCAGGUAGAGUGUUCAGAAGAACUUGGAGAUUUGGUCAAGACUGCUGAUACUACACUGGCUCUGAGUGUCUACCUUCGAGCAAAUGUGCCAAGCAAAGUUAUACAGUGUUUCGCAGAAAUAGGCCAAUUCCAGAAAAUUGUGCUCUAUGCCAAAGAGGUUGGCUAUGCCCCAGACUGGAUCUUUUUGCUGAGGAGUGUGAUGAGGAUUAGUCCAGAUCAGGGCCUGCAGUUUUCUCAGAUUCUAGUACGGAAUGAGGAGCCACUGGCUAGCAUUGACCAGAUUGUAAAUGUUUUCAUGGAAAACAGUUUAAUUCAGCAAUGUACUUCCUUCUUGUUGGAUGCCUUGAAGAAUAAUCACCCAGCUGAGGGGCAUCUUCAGACACGCUUACUGGAGAUGAACCUGAUUCAUGCCCCCCAGGUUGCAGAUGCCAUCCUUGGAAAUCAGAUGUUUACUCAUUAUGAUCGGGCCCAUAUCGCCCAACUGUGUGAAAAGGCCGGUCUCCUGCAGCGAGCAUUGGAGCACUACACUGACCUCUAUGACAUCAAGAGGGCUAUGGUCCACACUCACCUUCUCAGUCCCGAGUGGCUCGUCAGCUUCUUUGGUUCUUUAUCAGUGGAAGAUUCUUUGGCAUGUCUGCGUGCUCUGCUGUCUGCCAACAUUAGACAGAACCUUCAGUUGUGUGUUCAGGUUGCCUCUAAAUACCAUGAGCAGCUGGGUACACAGUCCUUGGUGGAACUCUUUGAAUCCUUCAAGAGUUAUGAAGGCCUCUUCUACUUCCUGGGCUCAAUUGUGAACUUCAGCCAAGAUCCAGAUGUGCACUUCAAGUACAUUCAAGCCGCCUGCAAGACAGGACAGAUAAAGGAGGUGGAGAGGAUAUGCCGAGAGAGCAAUUGCUACUAUCCUGAAAGGGUGAAGAACUUCCUGAAAGAGGCCAAACUCACUGAUCAGCUUCCUCUUAUCAUCGUGUGUGAUAGGUUUGACUUUGUACAUGACCUUGUCCUGUACUUAUAUCAAAACAACCUGCAGAAGUAUAUCGAGAUCUACGUUCAGAAGGUGAACCCUAGUCGGAUCCCAGAUGUGGUUGGAGGACUGCUUGAUGUGGAUUGUUCGGAAGACGUAAUUAAAAACUUGAUCAUGGUAGUGAGAGGACAGUUCUCUACAGAUAAGCUGGUGGAUGAAGUAGAGAAAAGAAACAGGCUAAAACUUCUGCUCCCUUGGCUGGAGUCCUGGAGUCAUGAAGGCUGCGAAGAACCUGCUAUUCACAAUGCACUCGCCAAGAUCUAUAUUGACAGCAACAGCAGCCCUGAGCGCUUCUUGAAAGAGAACUCCCACUAUGACAGUCGUGUUGUUGGCCGUUAUUGUGAGAAGCGGGACCCACAUCUGGCCUGUGUGGCUUAUGAGCGAGGGCAGUGUGACCUUGAGCUCAUCAAGGUUUGCAAUGAGAAUUCUUUAUUCAAAAGUGAGGCUCGCUACUUGGUGCGCAGGAAGGAUCCAGAGCUCUGGGCGCAUGUACUCCAGGAGACCAAUUCAUCCAGAAGACAGCUGAUUGACCAGGUGGUACAAACAGCAUUAUCAGAAAUACAGGAUCCUGAAGAGGUUUCAGUCACUGUCAAGGCCUUCAAAACAGCUGACCUCCCUAAUGAACUGAUUGAACUGCUGGAGAAGAUUGUUCUAGAUAACUCUGUCUUCAGUGAGUUCAGGAAUCUCCAGAAUCUGCUAAUCCUGACUGCUAUCAAGGUAGACCGCACUCGAGUCAUGGACUACAUCAUUCGCCUGGACAAUUAUGAUGCCCCAGAUAUUGCAAGCAUUGCCAUCACCAGUGCAUUGUAUGAAGAGGCAUUCACCAUCUUUCACAAGUUUGACAUGAAUGCCUCAGCAAUCCAGGUCCUGAUUGAGCACAUUGGAAACCUAGAUCGAGCCUAUGAAUUUGCAGAGAGAUGCAAUGAACCUGCCGUGUGGAGUCAGCUGGCCCAAGCCCAGCUCCAGAAAGACUUAGUAAAGGAAGCCAUUGACUCUUACAUCAGAGCUGAUGACCCAGCCUCUUACCUAGAGGUUGUUCAGACAGCCAGCAGGAAUAGCAAUUGGGAGGAUCUGGUUAAAUUCCUACAGAUGGCCAGGAAAAAAGAUCAUGAAUCCUAUAUAGAGACUGAACUUAUUUUUGCGCUGGCUAAAACCAAUCGUCUCUCUGAGCUAGAAGAUUGUAUUAACGGACCCAACAAUGCCCACAUACAACAGGUUGGAGACCGCUGUUAUGAGGAAGGAAUGUAUGAAGCUGCUAAGCUGCUAUAUAGCAGUGUUUCUAACUUUGCCGGUCUGGCUUCUACCCUGGUCCACCUUGGUGAGUAUCAGGCAGCAGUGGACAGCAGCCGCAAGGCAAACAGCACACGGACAUGGAUGGAGGUGUGCUUUGCCUGUGUGGAUGGACAGGAAUUCCGCCUUGCACAGUUGUGUGGUCUCCACAUCGUCAUUCAUGCAGAUGAGCUGAAAGAGUUAAUUUGCUAUUACCAGGAUGGAGGCUACUUUGAAGAGCUGAUCUCUGUGUUAGAAGCUGCCUUGGGCCUGGAGCAAGCCCAUAUGGGCAUAUUCACAGAACUGGCUAUCCUCUACUCCAAAUUCAAGCCGCAGAAGAUGCCAGAGCACCUGGAGCUCUUCUGGUCCCGUGUCAACAUCCCGAAGGUGUUGAAAGCUGUAGAGCAGGCACACCUCUGGGCAGAGCUGGUGUUCCUUUAUGACAAGUAUGAGGAGUAUGACAGUGCCGUCCUCACCAUGAUCAAUCACCCUGCUGAUGCCUGGAGAGAAGGACAGUUCAAAGACAUCAUUGCCAAGGUGGCCAAUGUGGAACUCUGUUAUAAGGCCCUGCAGUUCUAUUUAGAAUACAAACCUCUGCUCAUCAAUGACCUACUUCUGGUGCUUGCACCCCGGCUAGACCACACUCGGACUGUUGGCUUCUUUUCAGAGGCAGGUCAGUUGCCCCUGGUGAAACCUUAUCUACGUUCAGUCCAGAGCCACAACAACAAGAGUGUGAAUGAAGCACUAAACCACUUGCUGACGGAAGAGGAAGAUUUUCAGGGCUUGAGGUCAUCUAUUGAUGCCUACGACAACUUCGAUAGCAUCGCCUUAGCUCAGCGGUUGGAGAAGCACCCCCUGAUUGAGUUCAGGCGCAUUGCUGCUUAUCUGUACAAAGGCAACAAUCGGUGGGCCCAGAGUGUGGAGCUCUGCAAGAAGGACCAUCUCUACAAGGAUGCCAUACAGUAUGCUGCGGAGUCACGGGAUGCUGAAUUGGCCGAGAAGCUGCUGCAGUGGUUCCUGGAGGAGGGCAACUGGGAGUGCUUCGGUGCCACUCUCUUCACCUGCUACGACCUGCUUCCCCCAGAUGUGGUGCUAGAGCUGGCCUGGAGACACAACCUGGUGGACCUGGCCAUGCCCUACUUCAUCCAGGUGAUGAGGGAGUUCCUUAACAAAGUUGACAGACUAGAUGCCUCAGAGAGCCAGCGCCAGUGAGAGAAGCAUGUUGUGGAGCCUGCCCCUCUCCUCUUUGAUUUUGAUGGGCAUGAAUGAGAUCCAACCGGUUGAGCUAAGCCAGCAGCUGAUGCUGACAGCGGGCCCAGCUGCAGGCCCAGCCCCUGCCAGCUUUCCUUAUGGAUCUACAACUGCUCCUGCCUUCACCUAGCCUCCUGUGUACGGCUUCAGUGUGUUGUGGGCAUUCAGCGACAGUCCCAUCUCUAACCCCACUUAAUGAGACUAUCACCCCAGCAAUACACCCCAGGACCAUGAUGAGGACACCAGGACAUUAUUUAUUUUUGCUGAGACCUGAUGAUGGUAGCUGCUGCGCCAUCCCUGAGCCUGGGGAGUCCAAGGACUGUCUACCCAAGAAGA